CCACAGAAGGUAAUAGUCCUGUAUGUUAAACGAGAAAACUUUAGAUAUGAUCCAGAGUACCACGGGACACGUGAAACCCUGUGGGAAGCAGGAGGGACCACCCUCCAAGGCUAAAUACUACCUAGUGACCGAUAGCGUAUAGUACCGUGAGGGAAAGGGGAAAAGAACCCCGGGAGGGGAGUGAAAUAGAACCUGAAACCCUGCACUUACAAGCUGUGGAAGCACAUUUCUUGUGUGACCGCGUACUUUUUGUAGAACGGGCCAACGAGUUACGUUAAGUAGCAAGGUUAAGCACUUAAGGUGUGGAGC
Molecule: ribosomal RNA, 309 nt
Filed under: Clostridioides difficile
Lineage: Bacteria; Bacillati; Bacillota; Clostridia; Peptostreptococcales; Peptostreptococcaceae
Description: partial 23S ribosomal RNA
Rfam family: Bacterial large subunit ribosomal RNA
Source: RNAcentral